UUCUGGUUGAUCCCGCCGGACCUGACUGCUAUCGGAUUGAUACUAAGCCAUGCGAGUCUUUGUAGUAAUACAAGGCAGACGGCUCAGUAACACGUAGUCAACCUACCCUAUGGACGAGAAUAAUCUCGGGAAACUGAGCAUAAUUCUUGAUAGAUCAUAAUGCCUGGAAUGGUUUAUGGUUAAAAUGAUUCGUCGCCAUAGGAUGGGACUGCGGCCUAUCAGCUUGUUGGUGAGGUAAUGGCCCACCAAGGCGAUUACAGGUACGGGCUCUGAGAGGAGAAGCCCGGAGAUGGGUACUGAGACACGGACCCAGGCCCUAUGGGGCGCAGCAGGCGAGAAAACUUUGCAAUGUGCGAAAGCACGACAAGGUUAAUCCGAGUGAUUUCUGCUAAAGAAAUCUUUUGCCAGUCGUAAAACCGCUGGUGAAUAAGGGGUGGGCAAGUUCUGGUGCCAGCAGCCGCAGUAAU
This 467-nucleotide ribosomal RNA is filed under the name uncultured archaeon. RNAcentral describes it as "bacterial SSU rRNA". It matches the Rfam family "Archaeal small subunit ribosomal RNA", at positions 1 to 474 of the family's 1478-position model. The record is from RNAcentral.